Molecule: unclassified non-coding RNA, 1024 nt
Filed under: Hevea brasiliensis (rubber tree)
Lineage: Eukaryota; Viridiplantae; Streptophyta; Magnoliopsida; Malpighiales; Euphorbiaceae
Source: RNAcentral
UCAUAUAAUAAAACAUGGUAGUGUGUGGGCCUUGUAGUGCCCUGAGCAGAUAUGGUCAGGAAAUACAAGAAACUUUUAAUAGAUGCCAAAGAAAUAUCAAAAGCAAAAACAUAUAAAUUGUUGAAUAAUUCAAUUUACAAGGUCACAAUCAUAAGCAGCGCAAAACAAGCUUUCCAAUAAAUAUGGUAAACAUCAAAAUCUUUAAACAUAUAAAUCUCUGACAUUCAUCAUAGUAAUUUCUAAUGCACAGCAAUUUUAUGGAAGAGGACAAUGCUUUCAAGCAAACGGAAGCUUGUGAACUUCACAAUCACACCAAUUUAAAGGAUUUCACAAUAUAGAAAGGCAAAAGGCCGUUUUAAGACCUUGAGACCCUAAUCAAACAAAAGGGUCAUUUAAGCCCUUGAAUCUUUUAAAUAACCACUUAAGCCCUUAAACUAUUGAAAAUGGCUCAAAAAGUCCCAAACGAUAACACCAUGUAAGUUUAUGUCAAUUAAAGAACUAAAAUAAUGAAAAUUUAAGCCCCCAAAAAUUAAUUCGAUACUCAUUUAAGCCUCAUUGAACAAAUAAAUUUAAUUUUAAAAUUUUAAUAAUUAAGUUUAUAAAUAAAUUAUGUUAGUAAAUAUUAUUAAUAAAUAAAAUAAUUUUAUAUAAUCUACAAAAUAAAUAAAAAAUUAUUAUAAAUAGAUAAAUUUAAAUUUUUUAAAAAAAGUAUAAAAAAAUACUUCAACCAAAUACCGGGAAAAAAAAAUCAGAUUUUCCUUUCUUUUCUCAUCAACCAAAUACCAUACUUUAACCUCACAAUGUACUUAAAAAAAUAUGUAAGAAUAAUAAAAGCCAUAAAAUAUAUAGAAGCCCACAUUUCUUGGCCAAAGUGCAAAUCUGUAGGAUGCUAGCCUACUAAAUGCAGAAGAUAGUUAAAAAACCAAGGCUGUGUGUGUGCUUACGGGGCCCUAAAGAUAGAUUAUUCAUAUAAAAUAAAACAGCAUUUGGUUGAUACUCACAAUCAUUCCUGCAUGAGCACAGA